Molecule: ribosomal RNA, 520 nt
Filed under: uncultured Glomus
Lineage: Eukaryota; Fungi; Glomeromycota; Glomeromycetes; Glomerales; Glomeraceae
Description: SSU rRNA
Rfam family: Eukaryotic small subunit ribosomal RNA
Source: RNAcentral
AGCAGCCGCGGUAAUUCCAGCUCCAAUAGCGUAUAUUAAAGUUGCUGCAGUUAAAAAGCUCGUAGUUGAAUUUCGGGACUAAUAUGUUGGUCGUGCCUCGGUACGUACUGAUAUUUUUGGUUUCUCCCUUCUGACGAACCUUGAUGUCAUUAAUUUGGUGUCUUGGGAAAUCAGGACUGUUACUUUGAAAAAAUUAGAGUGUUUAAAGCAGGCUCACGCUUGAAUACAUUAGCAUGGAAUAAUGAAAUAGGACGUUUGAUUCUAUUUUGUUGGUUUCUAGGAUUGACGUAAUGAUUAAUAGGGAUAGUUGGGGGCAUUAGUAUUCAAUUGUCAGAGGUGAAAUUCUUGGAUUUAUUGAAGACUAACUACUGCGAAAGCAUUUUGCCAAGGAUGUUUUCAUUAAUCAAGAACGAAAGUUAGGGGAUCGAAGACGAUCAGAUACCGUCGUAGUCUUAACCAUAAACUAUGCCGACUAGGGAUCGGGUGAUGUUAAUUUUUUGAAUGACUCAUUCGGCGCCUU